UGGGGAAUUUUGGACAAUGGGCGCAAGCCUGAUCCAGCCAUACCGCGUGAGUGAAGAAGGCCUUCGGGUUGUAAAGCUCCUUCAGCCGGAAAGAAAUCGCACUGGUUAACACCUUGUGUGGAUGACGGUACCGGAAGAAGAAGCACCGGCUAACUACGUGCCAGCAGCCGCGGUAAUACGUAGGGUGCGAGCGUUAAUCGGAAUUACUGGGCGUAAAGCGUGCGCAGGCGGUUUUGUAAGACAGGCGUGAAAUCCCCGGGCUUAACCUGGGAACUGCGUUUGUGACUGCAAGACUAGAGUGUAGCAGAGGGGGGUAGAAUUCCACGUGUAGCGGUGAAAUGCGUAGAUAUCGGAAGGAACACCAGUGGCGAAGGCGGCUUCCUGGGUCUCUUCUGACGCUGAGGCGCGAAAGCCAGGGGAGCAAACGGGAUUAGAUACCCAGGUAGUCCCUGAGCGGGCUGGCAAGGCGCAU
Molecule: ribosomal RNA, 472 nt
Filed under: uncultured bacterium
Lineage: Bacteria
Description: bacterial SSU rRNA
Rfam family: Bacterial small subunit ribosomal RNA
Source: RNAcentral